Molecule: ribosomal RNA, 257 nt
Filed under: uncultured bacterium
Lineage: Bacteria
Description: partial 16S ribosomal RNA
Rfam family: Bacterial small subunit ribosomal RNA
Source: RNAcentral
UACGUAGGGGGGCAAGCGUUGUCCGGAAUCAUUGGGCGUAAAGAGCGUGUAGGCGGCCCGGUAAGUCCGCUGUGAAAGUCGGGGGGCUCAACCCUCGAAUGCCGGUGGAUACUGUCGGGCUAGAGUGCGGAAGAGGCGAGUGGAAUUCCUGGUGUAGCGGUGAAAUGCGCAGAUAUCAGGAGGAACACCGAUUGCGAAGGCAGCUCGCUGGGACGUAACUGACGCUGAGACGCGAAAAGCGUGGGGGAGCGAACAGG